Long non-coding RNA from Oncorhynchus keta (chum salmon), 1546 nucleotides. RefSeq lists it as uncharacterized. The record is from RefSeq and is a predicted model, not a curated record. The transcript has 5 exons. NCBI's taxonomy places the organism in Eukaryota, Metazoa, Chordata, Actinopteri, Salmoniformes, Salmonidae.
AGCCCCGACAACAGUUGAGAACAAACACACAGAUACAGUGUCUGGCUUCCCACUUGCCUCUUACAGUAUAUCCUUUGAGCCGGGAUACGGACGGCACUGAUUUACAAUGCAUGAACCCGAAUGCACAUUCCCAAACACUCUCACAGCACACUCAUAGAACUCAUGCAUGUCCUGCGGUUGUCAGGAUAUUCAAACAUGCUGACGAGACGGGCUGUCAGAGUGAAAUAUGGCAUAGAGGAGGGCUGGUGAACGCAGCACACACUGACAGCAGACUGAGUGAAUACACUUGUCAGUCUCUCAGCACAGAGCUGGGAGCUUACAGGAUGAAGGUCUGAUCACGGCAAAAAGAAAACAUGCAAAUGGAGCGAUUUUCAGUCACUUUUUUUUAAAUAUAUAUAUAUAUAUAUACCCGUUAACGUUAUAUCUUUAUCUUUAUUUUUCUCAAGAUUACAUACUGAACAACCUCUGGAAUAUGCAAACACACACACACAAAACCAUGCAGCACCAACGGGCGACAUGCAAAAGGUGUGUGGGAGCACUGGAUCGGUGCUUGGGGCAGGGAGGGUCCGUUUUGGGAUGGGAGGGGAUACUUGGGCGAGAAGGGAGAAGGGUUGAAUGCACUGAAAAUCCAAAUAAGUGGGCUAUAUAAAUGAUGUUGUUUUCAGAAUCAGCUAAAUAAAAACAAAAGUGUCGUCACACUUCUCACUUUGUCAACAAAAAACACACAAAGUCAAACCAGGAUAUGAGAAAACCAACAGCAACAACAGCAACAAUAACAACAACAUAAUCAAAAGCACAGUCUUGAACCCCACAAGAAGAAAACUGAGAGGUGUGACUGACAAUAACAGAUGACCCGUGGCUGAGGAGACUUAUUGGUGUGACGUUGAAGUUUUGGGGGUUGAGGGAUUGGGGUUUGGGCGUGGUGGUGGUGGUGGUGGAUAAUAAACAGGGUAAUGCUGUGGGCUGAAGGCGGUGGAUAAUAAACAGGGUAAUGCUGUGGGCUGAAGGCGGUGGAUAAUAAACAGGGUAAUGCUGUGGGCUGAAGGCGGUGGAUAAUAAACAGGGUAAUGCUGUGGGCUGAAGGCGGUGGAUAAUAAACAGGGUAAUGCUGUGGGCUGAAGGCGGUGGAUAAUAAACAGGGUAAUGCUGUGGGCUGAAGGCGGUGGAUAAUAAACAGGGCAAUGCUGUGGGCUGAAGGUGGUGGAUAAUAAACAGGGUAAUGCUGUGGGCUGAAGGUGAUGGAUAAUAAACAGGGUAAUGCUGUGGGCUGAAGGUGGUGGAUAAUAAACAGGGUAAUGCUGUGGGCUGAAGGUGGUGGAUAAUAAACAGGGUAAUGCUGUGGGCUGAAGGUGGUGGAUAAUAAACAGGGUAAUGCUGUGGGCUGAAGGUGAUGGAUAAUAAACAGGGUAAUGCUGUGGGCUGAAGGUGGCGGAUAAUAAACAGGAUAAUGUCGUGGGCUGAAGGUGGCGGAUAAUAAACAGGGUAAUGCUGUGGGCUGAAGGUGGUGAAUAAACACCACAGUGUGGACCAUCAAAACAAAUGGGAA